This is a non-coding RNA of Chloroflexi bacterium GWB2_49_20, 117 nucleotides long. The record is from Rfam. Lineage: Bacteria; Bacillati; Chloroflexota.
CUUGGUGAUCAGAGCGACGAGGGUACACCCGGUCCCAUACCGAACCCGGAAGUUAAGCUCGUCAGCGCCGAUGGUACUUGGUGGGCGACUGCCUGGGAGAGUAGGUCAUUGCCAAGA